AGGCAUAUCUUCUAAUGGUUAGGAAGCUAGACUGAUAUUCUAGUAAUCAUAGUUCGAUUCUAUGUAUGCCUA
This 72-nucleotide transfer RNA is filed under the name virus sp. ctQcs9. Its description in RNAcentral is "tRNA-Ile". It matches the Rfam family "tRNA". Rfam says of the family: Transfer RNA (tRNA) molecules are approximately 80 nucleotides in length. The record is from RNAcentral.